UGUUCAAAUUUCCAUCAAUUUCUAUUGUUAAAAAUUGGUUCAUAUAUGUCAGCAUGGGAGACACGUGGCAAGCAACGUGUCAUUAUUUGGUUAUUUUGUUAACCAAGCCAAUUUUUAACAGUACAACUGGAUGAAAAUUUAAAUA
RNAcentral lists this microRNA precursor (145 nucleotides) under Gossypium hirsutum (cotton). RNAcentral describes it as "MIR7502 microRNA precursor family". It matches the Rfam family "MIR7502 microRNA precursor family". The record is from Rfam by way of RNAcentral. Lineage: Eukaryota; Viridiplantae; Streptophyta; Magnoliopsida; Malvales; Malvaceae.